UCCAAGUUCGCUCAGGGUUCAUACGACUUCGAUAGAGGUGUCGUCAGAUCAUGAGGCAGAGAAGUAUCGUUUUGGAGUAAAAGAACUGACUUCAAUUAGAUUGGCUUACAUCAGCGCGAACAAGAAACAAAUCAGAAGGUCUUGACUGAACUAGUUCUCUUGCUUGUUGCAUUAGAACGUGGGCCCCAUCAGUGAGGGUAAAUUCCAUUUUUGCCAGAGAAAACUAGAUUACAGUACUAGCCUGAAGGUUGGAGUCUAUUAUUUCCCGUCGGAACAAGCUUAAUAUUUAACCUUCAUACUGCAUUUUACAAACUU
Molecule: long non-coding RNA, 315 nt
Organism: Haliotis rufescens (red abalone)
Lineage: Eukaryota; Metazoa; Mollusca; Gastropoda; Lepetellida; Haliotidae
Exons: 2
Source: RefSeq, a predicted model, not a curated record